GUGGAUAGAGAUGGGCACGCGCAAGAUUAGUUAGUUGGUGAGGUAACGGCUCACCAAGGCGAUGAUCUUUAGGGGGCCUGAGAGGGUGAUCCCCCACACUGGUACUGAGACACGGACCAGACUCCUACGGGAGGCAGCAGUGAGGAAUAUUGGACAAUGGGUUAGCGCCUGAUCCAGCCAUCCCGCGUGAAGGACGACGGCCCUAUGGGUUGUAAACUUCUUUUGUAUAGGGAUAAACCUACUCUCGUGAGAGUAGCUGAAGGUACUAUACGAAUAAGCACCGGCUAACUCCGUGCCAGCAGCCGCGGUAAUACGGAGGGUGCAAGCGUUAUCCGGAUUUAUUGGGUUUAAAGGGUCCGUAGGCGGAUCUGUAAGUCAGUGGUGAAAUCUCAUAGCUUAACUGUGAAACUGCCAUUGAUACUGCAGGUCUUGAGUAAAUUUGAAGUGGCUGGAAUAAGUAGUGUAGCGGUGAAAUGCAUAGAUAU
RNAcentral lists this ribosomal RNA (485 nucleotides) under uncultured bacterium. RNAcentral describes it as "bacterial SSU rRNA". It matches the Rfam family "Bacterial small subunit ribosomal RNA", at positions 215 to 697 of the family's 1533-position model. The record is from RNAcentral.